RNAcentral lists this unclassified non-coding RNA (172 nucleotides) under uncultured Xylariales. RNAcentral describes it as "sequence contains ITS2". The record is from RNAcentral. Lineage: Eukaryota; Fungi; Ascomycota; Sordariomycetes; Xylariales.
CAACCCUUAAGCCUAGCUUAGUGUUGGGAGUCUACUGGUGGUAACUUGUUACCUUGUAGUUCCUAAAAUACAAACGGCGGAUCUGCAGUAUCCUCUGAGCGUAGUUAAAUUUUUAUCUCGUCUUUUGUUAGGUGCUGUGGCUCUUGCCGCCUAAACCCCCAAUUUUUAAUGG